This 460-nucleotide ribosomal RNA is filed under the name uncultured bacterium. RNAcentral's name for it is "partial 16S ribosomal RNA". It matches the Rfam family "Bacterial small subunit ribosomal RNA", at positions 338 to 795 of the family's 1533-position model. The record is from RNAcentral.
CCUACGGGAGGCAGCAGUGAGGAAUAUUGGUCAAUGGACGAGAGUCUGAACCAGCCAAGUAGCGUGAAGGAUGACUGCCCUAUGGGUUGUAAACUUCUUUUAUAUGGGAAUAAAACGUUCCACGUGUGGGAUUUUGUAUGUACCAUAUGAAUAAGGAUCGGCUAACUCCGUGCCAGCAGCCGCGGUAAUACGGAGGAUCCGAGCGUUAUCCGGAUUUAUUGGGUGUAAAGGGAGCGUAGGUGGAUUGUUAAGUCAGUUGUGAAAGUUUGCGGCUCAACCGUAAAAUUGCAGUUGAAACUGGCAGUCUUGAGUAUAGUAGAGGUGGGCGGAAUUCGUGGUGUAGCGGUGAAAUGCUUAGAGAUCACGAAGAACUCCGAUGGCGAAGGCAGUUCACUGGACUGCAACUGACACUGAGGCUCGAAAGUGUGGGUAUCAAACAGGAUUAGAUACCCCAGUAGUC